This 565-nucleotide ribosomal RNA is filed under the name uncultured bacterium. RNAcentral's name for it is "bacterial SSU rRNA". It matches the Rfam family "Bacterial small subunit ribosomal RNA", at positions 313 to 869 of the family's 1533-position model. The record is from RNAcentral.
UUGGGACUGAGACACGGCCCAAACUCCUACGGGAGGCAGCAGUGGGGAAUCUUCCGCAAUGGACGAAAGUCUGACGGAGCAACGCCGCGUGAGUGAUGAAGGAUUUCGGUCUGUAAAGCUCUGUUGUUUAUGACGAACGUGCAGUGUGUGAACAAUGCAUUGCAAUGACGGUAGUAAACGAGGAAGCCACGGCUAACUACGUGCCAGCAGCCGCGGUAAUACGUAGGUGGCGAGCGUUGUCCGGAAUUAUUGGGCGUAAAGAGCAUGUAGGCGGCUUAAUAAGUCGAGCGUGAAAAUGCGGGGCUCAACCCCGUAUGGCGCUGGAAACUGUUAGGCUUGAGUGCAGGAGAGGAAAGGGGAAUUCCCAGUGUAGCGGUGAAAUGCGUAGAUAUUGGGAGGAACACCAGUGGCGAAGGCGCCUUUCUGGACUGUGUCUGACGCUGAGAUGCGAAAGCCAGGGUAGCGAACGGGAUUAGAUACCCCGGUAGUCCUGGCCGUAAACGAUGGGUACUAGGUGUAGGAGGUAUCGACCCCUUCUGUGCCGGAGUUAACGCAAUAAGUACCC